Octopus sinensis (East Asian common octopus) is the source of this 136-nucleotide long non-coding RNA. RefSeq lists it as uncharacterized. The record is from RefSeq and is a predicted model, not a curated record. Lineage: Eukaryota; Metazoa; Mollusca; Cephalopoda; Octopoda; Octopodidae. The transcript is spliced from 3 exons.
AAAAUAGAUCCAAAAUCUCCAUGUAUAUGAGAAGGGUAGAUAGGAGUAUGAUAAAUAAAGUAACACAAAAGAUAAAUACUGUCAUACCAUACAUCCAGACGCAGGACAUAACACAAACAAGGUAUCUUCUCCGAGC